AUUUAGGAGACGAUUAACAAAUCAAUUGAUGAUAUUAGAGAUCUUAAGGUAGCACGAAAAUCGGAUUUCUCUCUGAUCUAGGGUUAGGGUUUAAGCAGAAGAAAUCGGAGGUCAGAAAGCGAAUCCAAUGGCGUCACCGAUUGGAUUUUACUCCGGCGCCAGCAGCCUGGCUCUGGUCGGUCGUGUGUCGGCGUUCACUUUGGGAAUGCUCUACGGGAACACGAAGCUCAAGAUUCUCAAGAUAAAAGCAAACUCGCAAAAGAAGGCCAAAGCCAAGAUUCAUCACUGAGAAGGUUAGCAGAGCAAACUCGUCCCACAUGUUUUGAAGAGAGCCAUGCCAUGGAGAUCUUCCCUUUUCUUUUGGGCUCUGAUUGUUCGUCCAAACAAUCUCCUGUAUUGUCAUUUUUUCCGGCAAACUUAAGAUCUGUUAUAACCACCCCCUUGAACAUGAAGGGUUUGAUUUAAAGAAGUCAUUGGCUCACUAGUCUGGUGUUUUCCAGUUGUCAGUGGCAAUUUGCUUCA
This is a long non-coding RNA of Tarenaya hassleriana, 522 nucleotides long. RefSeq lists it as uncharacterized. The transcript is spliced from 3 exons. The record is from RefSeq and is a predicted model, not a curated record. NCBI's taxonomy places the organism in Eukaryota, Viridiplantae, Streptophyta, Magnoliopsida, Brassicales, Cleomaceae.